AGUAAGAGCUUGGCUGCAUUGCUUUUCAUUGUACAGCACAGCUAAGCAGGGUCAAGCCUGGUUAGUAUGUGGAUGGGAGACCUCAAAGGAAAACUCAGGCACU
Molecule: ribosomal RNA, 103 nt
Filed under: Chrysemys picta bellii (western painted turtle)
Lineage: Eukaryota; Metazoa; Chordata; Testudines; Emydidae
Source: RNAcentral